Columba livia (rock pigeon) is the source of this 4639-nucleotide long non-coding RNA. RefSeq lists it as uncharacterized. NCBI's taxonomy places the organism in Eukaryota, Metazoa, Chordata, Aves, Columbiformes, Columbidae. The transcript is spliced from 3 exons. The record is from RefSeq and is a predicted model, not a curated record.
CUCCCGGCAGACGGGCCGGGGCCACCGGCAGCCUCCGCGGUGAGCAGGCGGCCUGCACCGGCCCGCUCCCUCAGCAGCCUGAGGGCAGCUCCCGGCCGGGCGGCUGGCGGAGGGUGCAGGAAGGUGCCCGGCAGCCUGACCAGAGCGAUCCCGCCGGCGCGGCCGAGGGCUCCAGGGACGGGCAGGAGCGGCGCCGGUGCUCCCCCAGCCUCCGCCUGCUCUGCUGGGCCUGCUGGAGGAAGGAGCCAGGAGGGGAACGUGGUUCUCGUCUCCGUUGCUCCCUGGGCACACGUCCUCCCACACUGCUCCGGUAGAAGGAGAAAUGCAAGACUUUCCACGUAUCAAAAGUGAGACUUGAACAGGAGCUGCCGCAGGACGGGCUGAGGCUCUGGGUGUUCGUGGUCAGUGCGUCCCCGUUCGCUGGAGUCUUCUCGUUCCACGGGUGUCAAGUGCCAGUGGGAGCUCAGGCUGAGCCUCCCUGAGCACCAACACGGCAGCGUCUGUGACACGGGAGAGAUUAAACCGUUCUGUGUACAGGAGAAGCUGUGAUGAUCUGCACAAGGAUGGUGCAGGGCUCCUCUGCACCCCAACAAGUCCUGCAACCACCCCGAGGGCCCUGCUGCUCCGGAGUUUUCCAACAAGGGCACCCCUUUAUAUCUGAGCCUGCUCGCACUGCACAGAAGUCCGUGAAUGUCAACUUCCACUAUUCUGCAGGAAACAAAUGUCUUUUUGUCACGAGCACAGUGUUCUGCAAUAAUAACCAAGGUACAAAGCCGUACAUUUAGUGUGUGACAUGCUUGUAAGCCUGCGAAUCUGCAGAUCCUGUGUACCUGUCAGGGCACCCAACUUUUGCCAAAAUAAUUCAGAAUAUUGCUGCAUUAAAAUGGGUGAUGUUGUUUUUCAUUCACAGACAACUCGUAGUUUGAGUUUUACUUAGUUGAGUUCGUCACUGAAAAUCAAAGUAAUGCACCUUUCUCUAGACCAGAAAAACAGUGAGAUCCUGCCUCAAGGAACUUGCAAUAUAGCAGCAAAACCAUCUAAAGGAGGAUGUGUUCUUAGUCAUUGCACAUUGUGUGGAAAUACUCGGUACCCAGUAGUGAUUACACUGGAAUACGUGGAAAAUCACACCGUGAAAACGCAAAUUCUUUACCUAUCCUGACGUGGCCUCCAGCAAGGCCUUCUAUAGUAAAUUCCCACCAGUGUUUCGCUGAUGAUUUCUGGUUUAUCUGCCCAGAAACCCAUUUCAGAAGCUCCCUCAAGUGGUCCUGUUCUGCUGAGCCCGUACGUCGCGUUAUGAGCAGGAACGGCCCAACAGUCCAAAGGGCACAGCAUCAACGCCAUCGCACCGGUCAGCGUCAUUAAAUGAGCCGUCCAUUGAGGAGGUUGAUGAUUAAGAAUUAUGUUAAAAACGUUUCUACUUUCUUCUUUUCUUCAUCGCAGCUUUCACAGCCAGAUGGGGAAUCCUCACGUGGAAACUCGGAGCCUGACAGGGCUGGAAAUAUCCUUCAAGGCCUCAUAAAACAUUAAAGAUGUUUGUGCAGCUGUUGUUUGCUCCUGCUGCUCUGUACGUAUGCCAGCCAUAACAUCGCAAUUUUGUCAUUCGCACCAGCGGCAGCUUUGUGUUGCUGUAAAUUUUGUGUUUUCUUGUGUUAUUCAGGUUUUAAUUAAGCAAUCUUGCCCCUAAGAUGGGUCUCAGAUCUCCAAAAAUUGAGGCCGUGGGCACUAUAUGGAACUUUGAUGCCUUUAUCUUGUAACAGCACAUUUGCAAUCUCAUAAUUUCAUUUAUCACUGUAAACACUAUUUUAUUUAAAGCUGUAAUGGCAAUUAGAAAGCAUUAUCCUAUUAAAUUGUAUGUCAGUUUUUAAAGGAACAAUCUCAUUUUGCUGAAAUAUGUUGCCUGCUGCAGCAUUUAACAUUAAAAUAGAUCAGUCUGAAUGUUUCAUGAUAAUGUGGAAUUGUAGAAACAUGAAGCCGGGUCUCCUGGUGAAAACGCCUGAAAAUGAUGCAGCAGGAAUGACAUCAGGCUCCCACAGGCUCGCUAUUUCUUGCGGUGUCGGAACAUGAAAAAAACCUCAAUGCAAAGAGGGUAAUACUGGAAGCCACUUGCCAACAUGGUUCUUACAAGGCAGGAAAGCGAAGUGUGAAUUACUGACGGGGCUGCUGUGAGGACAAACGGUUAUAACCGGCCGCGAACAAACACCAGCCAGAACCGCCAGGCUGCAAAGGAGGGAGAUCGCUGCAGGUUUUCCACAGCGCAAACCAGCGAGGGCGGCAGGACCCGCCGGAGCCGUUUCUCCUCAGCAGCGGCGGGAGGGGCGUCCAGGCUGGACAGGCGCCUCUGGGAGCCUCCAGACAGCACCGCUACCAAUAGAAGCACACGGAACAAGCAACGAACUUGUGCAAGAGAAGGUGGUGAAAGCAGUAGCGGAGAUACAACUGCCUCUGUGAAGGUGCCCAGAGGCGCUGGACAGAGAACCUGUUUACGGGAGGAGCUUUCCCCGCAAGAUCAAUUGCUGUAUCAGGUGUUUGGUUUCCAACAUACUUAUCACAUUUUUUAACGUAGUUGCAAUGUUUUUUCCAACAAUAGCUGACCUAGCCGUUGAACUUAUUCCAUGCUGUUCAUCUUGUGCGUAACUAUGUUAGUCUGAUUUGUCAAAUAUACAUUUAUGGGCUUACAUGCAAGGUUUUGUAUUAGUCAGGUUUUUUCUGUGGGUAAAUACUGUUUUCAGUGCCGUGCAGGUGAUGCAAUAGAUUGUUUCUGUUAUUAUUUUGUGAGUUCUUGAAAAUAUUGUUUUGCUUUUAGUUACAAAAUUGUACAUUAAGAUUUGAAAUCCAAAUGAAAUCUGCUGCCCAGGGGGGUUGUGGAGUCUCCUUCUCUACAGACAUUCAAAACCCGCCUGGACAUGUUCCUGUGCGACCUCACCUGGGCGUUCCUGCUCCAUGGGGGAUUGGACUGGAUGAUCUUUUGAGGUCCCUUCCAAUCCCAAACAUACUGUGAUACUGUGAUAAUGUUUCCAAGGAGAUCCAAUUUUGUUCUUCCCAUUCUCACUAUAAGCAAAAGCAGCUAAAAAGAAGAAACAAAAUAAAAGGUAAGGAAUGGACUUGGGUGCUUCUUUGCUAGAAAAUAAUUGUGAUUUCUUAUGAGCUUUAAAAUGAAGUCGUAUCCAUUAUGAUGACAAACAAUGUGGUGUCACUGUCCAUGAAUUCAUCGUCUUCUCGUUACAUUUCUAUGUGGGAUUUGCAGUUGCAUCUUUGCAGCUGAAAUGGUGACUGUGUUUCCUUCCUGUCUCAAGGAGCAUUGUCAUGUUUCUGUGGGCUUUUAAAAUAGCUCCUGUACGUUACUCCAUUGGUUGGCAGAAUUUUGAUAAGGAAUAAGUAUGUGCAUCUUGUGACAAUACAUUCUGGUUAGAAAUUCCUAAGCGGUUGUUACUGCCGGGGUGGCUGUCAUGAGCAACAUGUUUUAUGUCUCAGAUUGGAAAUGAUGAAGGAAAAAAUACCUGACUUCAGUGCAAGCUCUGGGUGCGUUUCAAUGGGUUUGUGUUUAGGAUUCGGGGAGCAGUGCUAGAAUCCUACCACCAAAAUAAAAACUGUGAUAGCAGAUGGGGAAAGAAGUUCUUUUCUUGCGUAGGCCCAUAAAACUGGAGCAGGUGAGCGAUGGAAAAACGCCAGUAAAUAACAUAAAUACCCACGGACACCCCAAAGGCUCAGUCUGAAUGGCAGAGGUGAUAUAUUCUGCUCAUCUGUGUGCGUCUGGCGGGGAAUUUCUUGUGUGAUCACUGCAGCUCAGAAGAUUACGGGGCGGCUGUGACAUCCUGCGCGAACCCACUUGUUUGAGAUCUUUAACACCCUUCUGAACCAAGCUCGUUGUUCCCUUGUCCAGCCCUCCAGCUCGUCUGUGGGUGCUUUAUGGGUGCUGAGUGAGCGGCGUCUGUUUUGGUGGUAAAAUAGCAAAGAUGAACCCAGGCUGUGAGAUCCCUGCUGGAAAGGGGAUUCGGGAGCUUUGGAGCCAACGUGCUGCCUGGAGCACAGGUGGGAAAGCGCAGGUACCACCAGUUCAGGAGGACACGACUCAGAGACGUGGCCCGCGUUGUAGUUAUUAUUACAUUUCUGUAACACCAGAAUUGUGCUGAUGUUGCUCCCUUAUUAAUAAAGGGGUUAAUCAGAGUGAGUGAAUAUUUCAAGCUGCUUGUUUUAACAGCCCAUGAAAUCGCUCAGUGCAGAGCUCCAGCCCUCGCCUGUUCUGUUUGUUCAGUCGUUCUUCGCUUGCCAUGCGGUAGGAAAGGUCAUUUACAUAUCAUUACUUUUUCAUUUUUCACAUUUAAACUUUGCCUGACUGUGCUGUUGCUUUGCAAACACUAAAAUCCUGCAGUUAUUUGCAUUAAAUAUGAUGAAAGAGAAUCGAGUAUGAGACUGAAUUAAAAUCGCUGUAGCCUGUCUUGCCUGAAACCUCUGGGCUCAGUGCGGAACUUUGGUUUAAAAGCCUUCAGCUUGGACACUGAGUUCUCGAUUUCUCAUUUUCAAAGUAGCUGAGCUUUAGGUGGGUGAGUGCAAUAUAGGUGUCGCUGCCAUGUGUGGUGGUGAUAAUCUCCUAAAUAACUUUAAAUUCCAGAUUCCAUACUGUGUGUGGGAAGAACUGCAG